Scatophagus argus is the source of this 1689-nucleotide long non-coding RNA. RefSeq lists it as uncharacterized. Lineage: Eukaryota; Metazoa; Chordata; Actinopteri; Scatophagidae. The record is from RefSeq and is a predicted model, not a curated record. The transcript is spliced from 8 exons.
CGGUCGGCCGAGCGCUCCACCAGCUCCACGGUCUGACCACAACGGACGCCGAGCUCCCCUGGUCCCCCGGAGGAGACGUCCAACAGCACCACCACUAACUCACAGCCUCCUGACAGCUGGGGACACAAGUGGACAGGUAUUUGGUUCGUCCAGACGAGUCUUUGAUCUCCUUGCUGAAGAUGAGUGACAGCUCGAACAGGAAGAGGUGCCGGUCCCGCCCCUUCCUGAUCAGAGACUUUGGUUCCCACACCAAGAAGGAGUCCUGCAGCAGGAGCUCCCCCUGCACCUCCAGACCCUCCUCCAGACCUGAGCACAGCAACCACAGUCAGCUCACCGAACAGCAAGUACCUGUUGUGGAACUCGUAGAUGUCCUGGAUGUUUCCGAACACGAUGUCGUCCUUGUUAAUGAGACCAGGUGGGACGUCCUCUGAGCCGCUCGUCAUCUCCCACAGGGAAGGGACUUCCGAUGCUCCUCCCAGUCUCCUCACCUUCAGGAAGGCCUCCUUCUGCUCCAUGUGUUUGUUGAUGAGAGGCAGGAGCUGCUCAGGCUGUCUGUCUCCACCUCCACACCAGUCCUCCUCUCUGCGGUACUCCUGCUCCAGACUCUCCAGCACGCCACACACCUGCAGAGACAGGUGGACAGGUAGGUGGACAGACAGACAGACGAACCAGUAGGACAAGAGGACAUGCAGACAACAGUACCUGCUGGGAUGUCCUGUAAAAGGCUGCAGAUGCGUUGACCAGCUUGAGUCUGUCUUCAAUCCUCAGCAUCAGAGUCUGCCAGUGCAGCGCCACCGUCUGGGCACAAGACCUCACUGCAUCUGGAUCGUAGUGACCCGACCUGGGGACAGGACAGACAAGUGAGACUGAAGCCAGAGCCACCUGAUGAGUCCUCUGCAGGGAGUCAGCAUGGAGCAGAGCCUGGAGAGAGACACGCGGGAAGACGAGCAUAUCUCUGGCUGUCCCAGAAUGCAGUGUGUGUGUACAUGCAGUAACCUCUAUGGCCUGCUGGAGGCGCUCGUGCUCCCUCUGCAGCUGCUCAGCUUCAGACAGACAGCUGGAGUUCAGCAUGCAGGACGACAACAUGACUUCCCCCUCUGAGAUCCAACCCAGCACCUGAGCCACAGACAGGCAGAGAGACAGACAGUACCUCCUUGGUGUGUGUGUAGAAGGACACAGCGAGGUCCAGCAGCAGCUUCCUCUGCUCAACUCGCUGGAUGAAAGCCUGCAAACACACAACAGGAUCAUCAGAGUCCAGCAUGCGAUGCUCCUGUGCUCCUCCUCCCCUGCCCUCCCCUCACAAGUUCACAGAGUACCUGCAUGCGGAGCUCCAGGUCUCUGGCUGCCUGGUAGAUCUCCUCCUCCUCACACUCUCCAGACUGAGCCAGCUGAUCCGCUGCUUCCAGAAGCUUCUCUGCAUUAGUGUAAGUGUUCUGACACACGCACACACACACACACACACACACACACACACACACAGCUGAGGUUAGUGCUUUCAUCAGUCCUCCUUUUCCAUCUUAAAGCCUCCCAAAGUCCAGACCAGAAGCCAGAUACUGAAGUGUUCCUUCAGUUUCUCAGGCUGAUGUUUUCACUCGGUCUUGACUAACUUGAGUCUGCUUUAUUUUUCUCUUUUGCUCGCUCCGAUGUUUGGCAGGAUGUCAGUCAGGUGUGUGUCAUGUCAUGUUGAAA